RNAcentral lists this ribosomal RNA (587 nucleotides) under uncultured bacterium. RNAcentral's name for it is "partial 16S ribosomal RNA". It matches the Rfam family "Bacterial small subunit ribosomal RNA", at positions 355 to 1375 of the family's 1533-position model. The record is from RNAcentral.
UGGGGAAUUUUGGACAAUGGGCGAAAGCCUGAUCCAGCAAUGCCGCGUGUGUGAAGAAGGCCUUCGGGUUGUAAAGCACUUUUGUCCGGAAAGAAAUCCUUGGCUCUAAUACAGUCGGGGGAUGAUGGUACCGGAAGAAUAAGCACCGGCUAACUACGUGCCAGCAGCCGCGGUAAUACGUAGGGUGCAAGCGUUAAUCGGAAUUACUGGGCGUAAAGCGUGCGCAGGCGGUUUGCUAAGACCGAUGUGAAAUCCCCGGGCUCAACCUGGGAACUGCAUUGGUGACUGGCAGGCUAGAGUAUGGCAGAGGGGGGUAGAAUUCCACGUGUAGCAGUGAAAUGCGUAGAGAUGUGGAGGAAUACCGAUGGCGAAGGCAGCCCCCUGGGCCAAUACUGACGCUCAUGCACGAAAGCGUGGGGGAGCAAACAGGAUUAGAUACCCCUGGUAGUCCACGCCCUAAACGAUGUCAACUAGUUGUUGGGGAUUCAUUUCCUUAGUAACGUAGCUAACGCGUGAAGUUGACCGCCUGGGGAGUACGGUCGCAAGAUUAAAACUUAAAUGAAUUGACGGGGUCAUAGCUGUUUCCU